UACAGAGGGUGCGAGCGUUAAUCGGAAUUACUGGGCGUAAAGCGUGCGUAGACGGUUAUUUAAGUCGGGUGUGAAAGCCCCGGGCUCAACCUGGGAAUUGCAUUCGAGACUGAAUAGCUAGGGUACGGUAGAGGGAAGCGGAAUUUCCGGUGUAGCGGUGAAAUGCGUAGAUAUCUGGAGGAACACCGGUGGCGAAGGCGGCAUCCUGGACCAUUAUUGACGCUGAGGAGCGAAAGCCAGGGGAGCAAACGGG
This 253-nucleotide ribosomal RNA is filed under the name uncultured bacterium. RNAcentral describes it as "partial 16S ribosomal RNA". It matches the Rfam family "Bacterial small subunit ribosomal RNA", at positions 524 to 776 of the family's 1533-position model. The record is from RNAcentral.